GGCCCCUUAGCUUAGUCCGGUGGAGCGCACGACUGAUAAUCGUGAGGUCCCCAGUUCAAAUCUGGGAGGGGCCA
Molecule: transfer RNA, 74 nt
Filed under: Candidatus Woesearchaeota archaeon
Lineage: Archaea; Nanobdellati; Candidatus Woesearchaeota
Description: tRNA-Ile
Rfam family: tRNA
About the family: Transfer RNA (tRNA) molecules are approximately 80 nucleotides in length.
Source: RNAcentral